CUACGGGAGGCUCCAGUCGCGAAAACUUUACAAUGCACGCAAGUGUGAUAAGGGGAUUCCAAGUGCUUUACUUUUAGUAAGGCUUUUGCCAAGUCUAAAAAGCUUGGCGAAUAAGUGGUGGGUAAGACCGGUGCCAGCCGCCGCGGUAACACCGGCGCCACAAGUGGGGACCAUAUUUAUUGGGUCUAAAGCAUCUGUAGCUGGCUAGAUAACUCUCUUGUGAAAUCAUUAUACUUAAUAUAAUGGCGCGCAAGAGAAACUAUUUGGCUUGGGACAGGGAGAGGGCAGAAGUAUUCCAGGGGAAGCGGUAAAAUGUGAUAAUCCUUGGAAGACUACCAAUGGCGAAGGCAUCUGCCUAGAACUGGUCCGACAGUGAGGGAUGAAGGCUAGGGGAGCGAUCCGGAUUAGAUACCCGUGUAGUC
RNAcentral lists this ribosomal RNA (422 nucleotides) under uncultured archaeon. RNAcentral describes it as "partial 16S ribosomal RNA". It matches the Rfam family "Archaeal small subunit ribosomal RNA", at positions 323 to 746 of the family's 1478-position model. The record is from RNAcentral.